This 1103-nucleotide ribosomal RNA is filed under the name Flavobacterium sp. PVS08. RNAcentral's name for it is "bacterial SSU rRNA". It matches the Rfam family "Bacterial small subunit ribosomal RNA", at positions 40 to 1142 of the family's 1533-position model. The record is from RNAcentral. Lineage: Bacteria; Pseudomonadati; Bacteroidota; Flavobacteriia; Flavobacteriales; Flavobacteriaceae.
CGGCAUCCCGGCAGCUACACAUGCAGUCGAGGGGUAUGCUUCUUCGGAAGCAGAGACCGGCGCACGGGUGCGUAACGCGUAUGCAAUCUGCCUUUCACAGAGGGAUAGCCCAGAGAAAUUUGGAUUAAUACCUCAUAGCAUAGCACAAUCGCAUGAUUGAGCUAUUAAAGUCACAACGGUGAAAGAUGAGCAUGCGUCCCAUUAGCUGGUUGGUAAGGUAACGGCUUACCAAGGCUACGAUGGGUAGGGGUCCUGAGAGGGAGAUCCCCCACACUGGUACUGAGACACGGACCAGACUCCUACGGGAGGCAGCAGUGAGGAAUAUUGGUCAAUGGGCGCAAGCCUGAACCAGCCAUGCCGCGUGCAGGAUGACGGUCCUAUGGAUUGUAAACUGCUUUUGUACGAGAAGAAACACUCCUUCGUGAAGGAGCUUGACGGUAUCGUAAGAAUAAGGAUCGGCUAACUCCGUGCCAGCAGCCGCGGUAAUACGGAGGAUCCAAGCGUUAUCCGGAAUCAUUGGGUUUAAAGGGUCCGUAGGCGGUCUGGUAAGUCAGUGGUGAAAGCCCAUCGCUCAACGGUGGAACGGCCAUUGAUACUGCUGGACUUGAAUUAUUAGGAAGUAACUAGAAUAUGUAGUGUAGCGGUGAAAUGCUUAGAGAUUACAUGGAAUACCAAUUGCGAAGGCAGGUUACUACUAAUGGAUUGACGCUGAUGGACGAAAGCGUGGGUAGCGAACAGGAUUAGAUACCCUGGUAGUCCACGCCGUAAACGAUGGAUACUAGCUGUUGGAAGCAAUUUCAGUGGCUAAGCGAAAGUGAUAAGUAUCCCACCUGGGGGAGUACGAACGCAAGUUUGAAACUCAAAGGAAUUGACGGGGGCCCGCACAAGCGGUGGAGCAUGUGGUUUAAUUCGAUGAUACGCGAGGAACCUUACCAAGGCUUAAAUGCAGACUGACCGAUUUGGAAACAGAUCUUUCGCAAGACAGUUUACAACGUGCUGCAUGGGUUGUCGUCAGCUCGUGCCGUGAGGUGUCAGGUUAAGUCCUAUAACGAGCGCAACCCCUGUUUGUUUAGUUGCCAGCGAGUAGUGUCGGGAAACCUCUA